Molecule: ribosomal RNA, 549 nt
Filed under: uncultured bacterium
Lineage: Bacteria
Description: bacterial SSU rRNA
Rfam family: Bacterial small subunit ribosomal RNA
Source: RNAcentral
UAGGGAAUCUUCGGCAAUGGGGGGAACCCUGACCGAGCAACGCCGCGUGAGUGAAGAAGGUUUUCGGAUCGUAAAGCUCUGUUGUUAAGGAAGAACGUGUGUGAGAGUGGAAAGUUCACACAGUGACGGUACUUAACCAGAAAGGGACGGCUAACUACGUGCCAGCAGCCGCGGCAAUACGUAGGUCCCGAGCGUUGUCUGGAUUUAUUGGGCGUAAAGCGAGCGCAGGCGGUUAGAUAAGUCUGAAGUGAAAGGCAGUGGCUCAACCAUUGUAGGCUUUGGAAACUGUUUAACUUGAGUGCAGAAGGGGAGAGUGGAAUUCCAUGUGUAGCGGUGAAAUGCGUAGAUAUAUGGAGGAACACCGGUGGCGAAAGCGGCUCUCUGGUCUGUAACUGACGCUGAGGCUCGAAAGCGUGGGGAGCGAACAGGAUUAGAUACCCUGGUAGUCCACGCCGUAACGAUGAGUGCUAGGUGUUAGGUCCUUUCCGGGACUUAGUGCCGCAGCUAACGCAUUAAGCACUCCGCCUGGGGAGUACGACCGCAAGGUUG